AAGUCGUAACAAGGUUUCCGUAGGUGAACCUGCGGAAGGAUCAUUAUAAAAUUUUUCUACAUAUUUUUAAAAUAUGUACAAAACUUUGUAUUCAAAACCACACUCUUUAAAACCAUAUAUAAAAAAAUUUGUUUCAUAUACAUAAUUUUUUUAAAUAAAUAAUAAAAUGACAACUUUCAACAACGGAUCUCUUGGCUCUC
Molecule: unclassified non-coding RNA, 200 nt
Filed under: fungal sp.
Lineage: Eukaryota; Fungi
Description: partial internal transcribed spacer region
Rfam family: Eukaryotic small subunit ribosomal RNA (bases 1-46)
Source: RNAcentral